This 432-nucleotide ribosomal RNA is filed under the name uncultured bacterium. RNAcentral's name for it is "bacterial SSU rRNA". It matches the Rfam family "Bacterial small subunit ribosomal RNA", at positions 354 to 796 of the family's 1533-position model. The record is from RNAcentral.
GUUGGGAAUUUUGGGCAAUGGGCGCAAGCCUGACCCAGCGACACCGCGUGGGGGACGAAGGCCUUCGGGUCGUAAACCCCUGUCAGGAGGGACGAAGCCGUAAGGUGACGGUACCUCCAGAGGAAGCCCCGGCUAACUACGUGCCAGCAGCCGCGGUAAGACGUAGGGGGCUAGCGUUGUCCGGAAUUACUGGGCGUAAAGCGCGUGCAGGCGGUCUGCUAAGUCCCGUGUGAAAGCCUCCGGCUCAACCGGAGGACGUCGCGGGAUACUGGCGGGCUUGAGGGCGGUAGAGGGUGAUGGAAUUCCCGGUGUAGCGGUGAAAUGCGUAGAUAUCGGGAGGAACGCCAGUGGCGAAGGCGGUCACCUGGGCCGUCCCUGACGCUGAGACGCGAAAGCUGGGGGAGCGAACGGGAUUAGAAACCCCUGUAGUCC